This 508-nucleotide ribosomal RNA is filed under the name uncultured bacterium. RNAcentral's name for it is "bacterial SSU rRNA". It matches the Rfam family "Bacterial small subunit ribosomal RNA", at positions 63 to 584 of the family's 1533-position model. The record is from RNAcentral.
CGAACGAGAGAGAAGGAGCUUGCUUCUUCGAUCGAGUGGCGAACGGGUGAGUAACGCGUGAGGAACCUGCCUCAAAGAGGGGGACAACAGUUGGAAACGACUGCUAAUACCGCAUAAGCCCACGGGUCGGCAUCGACCUGAGGGAAAAGGAGUGAUCCGCUUUGAGAUGGCCUCGCGUCCGAUUAGCUAGUUGGUGAGGUAAUGGCCCACCAAGGCGACGAUCGGUAGCCGGACUGAGAGGUUGAACGGCCACAUUGGGACUGAGACACGGCCCAGACUCCUACGGGAGGCAGCAGUGGGGAAUAUUGCACAAUGGGGGAAACCCUGAUGCAGCGACGCCGCGUGGAGGAAGAAGGUCUUCGGAUUGUAAACUCCUGUUGUUGAGGAAGAUAAUGACGGUACUCAACAAGGAAGUGACGGCUAACUACGUGCCAGCAGCCGCGGUAAAACGUAGGUCACAAGCGUUGUCCGGAAUUACUGGGUGUAAAGGGAGCGCAGGCGGGAAGAC